This is a long non-coding RNA of Drosophila yakuba, 1231 nucleotides long. RefSeq lists it as uncharacterized. The record is from RefSeq and is a predicted model, not a curated record. Lineage: Eukaryota; Metazoa; Arthropoda; Insecta; Diptera; Drosophilidae. The transcript is spliced from 2 exons.
CCACAGUUUCCAAGUCAAGGUUUCACCCACUCCCAAAACCAUGCAGAUUGUGACUUGGCCUGGACCAAAGCGUGGAUCAUCCACUACGGCCUUAGUGCAGCUGGAGAAAAAUAAAGUGCCAAAGGGCACACAUGGCACCGAGUUGCUUGGCUGUUGUGGCUUUUGUUUUUAGCCAUAAACAGGCUGUUGCUCGCGCCCAACUGUGGCAAUAAGUUCAAAUGCCAGCCCAGAGACCCGGCGACUAAAUGCACGGCUUAAUGUGCAACCGAGGCUGACAGGCAGGAAAACUCAGGCCGGCAAGACUCAGACUCUGGCUAAGAAGUGAGGCUCCAAGCCAGGCUCAGGCUGCAACCUCCAAGAGUCAAGCUCAGGCGGACAAAGGUUCCUGUGCCAAAAUAAAAAAAUACAAAAAAAAUAGUGGGUGUAGCGGCACCAAAUGCCAUUGCCAACUUUUGGUCCACAAGCAACGCCAACGCAUCUCGUGAGCAUCCAAUCCUCGCCAGCACCACCUUCGCAUCCACCAUUCACCAUCCAGCAUCUACCAUCUGCAGUGCUGAUUUCUCCUAAUUUGAUUAAACAGAUUGAGUUUAAUAAGGUUCUCGUGGCCUUAGCACGAAUAGAAUGGCAGAGAAGAGAAAUGCAUCAGCACUUGACUGGGGCGGCAACAAAUGUUUCCUAAUUCAAGUGCCGCAUUUAUUUUGUAAACAUUUCACACCGCACUCGGUUCUGGAUUCUCUGUUCUGUGUUCUGCACCAGGAAUUCCCCAUCCGCACGACUUGUUGUCAUACAAAAUAUGCCGGUUGAGCAGUGAUAGCACUCGACUCUUGCCCACACAAAAGGCCGCAUCCCUACUCCUAUCCCAAACCCAAACCCUAUCCCAGUAACGAUUCCCGAUCCCGAUCCCAAGCCCGGACCUGGAACAACCCAAUCAUUGGCCCCAGUGCUCGCCCGUGCAAUGUGCGUUUUGUGUGCACUUAUGCGAUCAUUUGUUAAGUGUCAUCGCGCCGGCAUAUGGGCAGGAAAACAACUCGAGAACAGCCACAACAUCAACAAACUGGGCUGCUGGCGAAAUUUGUCCCCGGCAUCGAAAUAUUCUGAUGCCCUUAGCUUUAAACGAAACAAUCUCGACUUAACAGGAGAAUGAGUUUAAUCAACUCGAAAAGAUGGGUUUCAUGACGAUUCCUAUCACAUAAAGUAGCAUCUCCAAUACUGUAUUAGAUGACCUAUGAGA